This 452-nucleotide long non-coding RNA is filed under the name Mytilus galloprovincialis (Mediterranean mussel). Lineage: Eukaryota; Metazoa; Mollusca; Bivalvia; Mytilida; Mytilidae. The record is from RNAcentral.
AAAAGAACCAAUUGGAUGAUGCUGACGAAUUAGGGUUUAACGUCCAGUGACAAAUAUCAUGUUCAUAUGUGAACGAGAACACGUUAUAUGUACGCUGUGUUGUAUUAGAAAGACACUUUCAGUCGGAAUUGAGAACGUGCUACUUCGUACAGACACAAAAAUUAAGGCUGAUUGAAAACGUCAAUAAAAAAUUCAUGCAUAUUCCAGAGGCCAAUCCAUAUCACGCUAUAUUGAAGUGACACACCCUUCAAUAAAAUGCAAAGAAAGUCAAAAUAAAAUGCUCUUUCUAGGAUACUGUGGCACCGUAUUGUCAUUUUUGUUUACUCAGGAACAUCUCAUUCCUAAAUUUUUCAAGGGGAAAAUAUAAAGGUAGCAAAAUUAUUGUCGUGGCUAAAUAACUCUUAACUGACACAAUUUCAAUUGUCCAACCCAUUAACAGACUUUAUUCCCAU